This 497-nucleotide ribosomal RNA is filed under the name uncultured bacterium. RNAcentral describes it as "partial 16S ribosomal RNA". It matches the Rfam family "Bacterial small subunit ribosomal RNA", at positions 28 to 507 of the family's 1533-position model. The record is from RNAcentral.
GAUGAACGCUGGCGGCGUGCCUAAUACAUGCAAGUCGAGCGAACAGACGAGGAGCUUGCUCCUCUGACGUUAGCGGCGGACGGGUGAGUAACACGUGGAUAACCUACCUAUAAGACUGGGAUAACUUCGGGAAACCGGAGCAAAUACCGGAUAAUAUAUUGAACCGCAUGGUUCAAUAGUGAAAGACGGUUUUGCUGUCACUUAUAGAUGGAUCCGCGCCGCAUUAGCUAGUUGGUAAGGUAACGGCUUACCAAGGCAACGAUGCGUAGCCGACCUGAGAGGGUGAUCGGCCACACUGGAACUGAGACACGGUCCAGACUCCUACGGGAGGCAGCAGUAGGGAAUCUUCCGCAAUGGGCGAAAGCCUGACGGAGCAACGCCGCGUGAGUGAUGAAGGUCUUCGGAUCGUAAAACUCUGUUAUUAGGGAAGAACAAAUGUGUAAGUAACUAUGCACGUCUUGACGGUACCUAAUCAGAAAGCCACGGCUAACUACGUG